RNAcentral lists this ribosomal RNA (494 nucleotides) under uncultured bacterium. RNAcentral describes it as "partial 16S ribosomal RNA". It matches the Rfam family "Bacterial small subunit ribosomal RNA", at positions 28 to 507 of the family's 1533-position model. The record is from RNAcentral.
GACGAACGCUGGCGGCGUGCUUAACACAUGCAAGUUGAACGGAAAGGCCUGCUUUCCCUUGUGGAUUGCGGGUACUCGAGUGGCGAACGGGUGAGUAACACGUGAGUGAUCUGCCCCCAACUUGGGUAUAAGCCUGGGAAACUGGGUCUAAUUCCCGAUAGGACUGCAGGGUGGUGCCUGUGGUGGAAAACGAUUUUCUAGUGGUUGGGGAUGAGCUCGCGGCCUAUCAGCUUGUUGGUGGGGUAAUGGCCUACCAAGGCGGCGACGGGUAGCCGGCCUGAGAGGGUGGACGGCCACAUUGGGACUGAGAUACGGCCCAGACUCCUACGGGAGGCAGCAGUGGGGAAUAGUGCACAAUGGGCGGAAGCCUGAUGCAGCGACGCCGCGUGGGGGAUGACGGCCUUCGGGUUGUAAACUCCUUUCGACCGCGAGGAAGCCACCUGGUUGGAAGGGUGGUGACGGUAGUGGUAGAAGAAGCACCGGCUAACUACGUG